AGUCAUCGGAAGUUGACAGCCAGAGCCAGGAAGAAGAUGAAGACGACAUGGCAACAGAUGACUACAAUUUUCCGUCGAUAACAACUGG
This 88-nucleotide small RNA is filed under the name Caenorhabditis elegans. RNAcentral describes it as "Unclassified non-coding RNA Y47H10A.9". Lineage: Eukaryota; Metazoa; Nematoda; Chromadorea; Rhabditida; Rhabditidae. The record is from RNAcentral.